GAGUCUUUAGCUCAAUGGUAGAGCACCUCACUUUUAAUGAGGGGGUUGAUGGUUCGAGUCCAUCAAGACUCA
RNAcentral lists this transfer RNA (72 nucleotides) under Parachlamydia acanthamoebae. RNAcentral's name for it is "tRNA-Lys". It matches the Rfam family "tRNA". From Rfam's summary of the family: Transfer RNA (tRNA) molecules are approximately 80 nucleotides in length. Their secondary structure includes four short double-helical elements and three loops (D, anti-codon, and T loops). Further hydrogen bonds mediate the characteristic L-shaped molecular structure. tRNAs have two regions of fundamental functional importance: the anti-codon, which is responsible for specific mRNA codon recognition, and the 3' end, to which the tRNAs corresponding amino acid is attached (by aminoacyl-tRNA synthetases). tRNAs cope with the degeneracy of the genetic code in two manners: having more than one tRNA (with a specific anti-codon) for a particular amino acid; and 'wobble' base-pairing, i.e. permitting non-standard base-pairing at the 3rd anti-codon position. RNAcentral also lists the same sequence under 3 other names. Lineage: Bacteria; Pseudomonadati; Chlamydiota; Chlamydiia; Parachlamydiales; Parachlamydiaceae. The record is from RNAcentral.